GACGAACGCUGGCGGCGUGCCUAAUACAUGCAAGUAGAACGCACAGUAUAUACCGUAGCUUGCUACACCAUAGACUGUGAGUUGCGAACGGGUGAGUAACGCGUAGGUAACCUGCCUGGUAGCGGGGGAUAACUAUUGGAAACGAUAGCUAAUACCGCAUAAUAUUGAUUAUUGCAUGAUAAUUAAUUGAAAGGUGCAAUUGUACCACUACCAGAUGGACCUGCGUUGUAUUAGCUAGUAGGUGAGGUAACGGCUCACCUAGGCGACGAUACAUAGCCGACCUGAGAGGGUGAUCGGCCACACUGGGACUGAGACACGGCCCAGACUCCUACGGGAGGCAGCAGUAGGGAAUCUUCGGCAAUGGACGAAAGUCUGACCGAGCAACGCCGCGUGAGUGAAGAAGGUUUUCGGAUCGUAAAGCUCUGUUGUAAGAGAAGAACGGGUGUGAGAGUGGAAAGUUCACACUGUGACGGUAUCUUACCAGAAAGGGACGGCUAACUACGUG
Molecule: ribosomal RNA, 505 nt
Filed under: uncultured bacterium
Lineage: Bacteria
Description: partial 16S ribosomal RNA
Rfam family: Bacterial small subunit ribosomal RNA
Source: RNAcentral